GACGAACGCUGGCGGCGUGCCUAAUACAUGCGAGUCGAACGCUUCUUUCCUCCCGAGUGCUUGCACUCAAUUGGAAAGAGGAGUGGCGGACGGGUGAGUAACACGUGGGUAACCUACCCAUCAGAGGGGGAUAACACUUGGAAACAGGUGCUAAUACCGCAUAACAGUUUAUGCCGCAUGGCAUAAGAGUGAAAGGCGCUUUCGGGUGUCGCUGAUGGAUGGACCCGCGGUGCAUUAGCUAGUUGGUGAGGUAACGGCUCACCAAGGCCACGAUGCAUAGCCGACCUGAGAGGGUGAUCGGCCACACUGGGACUGAGACACGGCCCAGACUCCUACGGGAGGCAGCAGUAGGGAAUCUUCGGCAAUGGACGAAAGUCUGACCGAGCAACGCCGCGUGAGUGAAGAAGGUUUUCGGAUCGUAAAACUCUGUUGUUAGAGAAGAACAAGGACGUUAGUAACUGAACGUCCCCUGACGGUAUCUAACCAGAAAGCCACGGCUAACUACGUGCCAGCAGCCGCGGUAAUACGUAGGUGGCAAGCGUUGUCCGGAUUUAUUGGGCGUAAAGCGAGCGCAGGCGGUUUCUUAAGUCUGAUGUGAAAGCCCCCGGCUCAACCGGGGAGGGUCAUUGGAAACUGGGAGACUUGAGUGCAGAAGAGGAGAGUGGAAUUCCAUGUGUAGCGGUGAAAUGCGUAGAUAUAUGGAGGAACACCAGUGGCGAAGGCGGCUCUCUGGUCUGUAACUGACGCUGAGGCUCGAAAGCGUGGGGAGCAAACAGGAUUAGAUACCCUGGUAGUCCACGCCGUAAACGAUGAGUGCUAAGUGUUGGAGGGUUUCCGCCCUUCAGUGCUGCAGCAAACGCAUUAAGCACUCCGCCUGGGGAGUACGACCGCAAGGUUGAAACUCAAAGGAAUUGACGGGGGCCCGCACAAGCGGUGGAGCAUGUGGUUUAAUUCGAAGCAACGCGAAGAACCUUACCAGGUCUUGACAUCCUUUGACCACUCUAGAGAUAGAGCUUUCCCUUCGGGGACAAAGUGACAGGUGGUGCAUGGUUGUCGUCAGCUCGUGUCGUGAGAUGUUGGGUUAAGUCCCGCAACGAGCGCAACCCUUAUUGUUAGUUGCCAUCAUUUAGUUGGGCACUCUAGCGAGACUGCCGGUGACAAACCGGAGGAAGGUGGGGAUGACGUCAAAUCAUCAUGCCCCUUAUGACCUGGGCUACACACGUGCUACAAUGGGAAGUACAACGAGUCGCUAGACCGCGAGGUCAUGCAAAUCUCUUAAAGCUUCUCUCAGUUCGGAUUGCAGGCUGCAACUCGCCUGCAUGAAGCCGGAAUCGCUAGUAAUCGCGGAUCAGCACGCCGCGGUGAAUACGUUCCCGGGCCUUGUACACACCGCCCGUCACACCACGAGAGUUUGUAACACCCGAAGUCGGUGAGGUAACCUUUUUGGAGCCAGCCGCCUAAGGUGGGAUAGAUGAUUGGGGUG
RNAcentral lists this ribosomal RNA (1483 nucleotides) under Enterococcus faecalis. Its description in RNAcentral is "bacterial SSU rRNA". It matches the Rfam family "Bacterial small subunit ribosomal RNA". The record is from RNAcentral. Lineage: Bacteria; Bacillati; Bacillota; Bacilli; Lactobacillales; Enterococcaceae.